CCUACGGGUGGCAGCAGUGAGGAAUAUUGGUCAAUGGACGAAAGUCUGAACCAGCCAAGUAGCGUGAAGGAUGACUGCCCUAUGGGUUGUAAACUUCUUUUAUAAAGGAAUAAAACGAGGCACGUGUGCCUUUUUGCAUGUACUUUAUGAAUAAGGAUCGGCUAACUCCGUGCCAGCAGCCGCGGUAAUACGGAGGAUCCGAGCGUUAUCCGGAUUUAUUGGGUUUAAAGGGAGCGUAGAUGGGUUGUUAAGUCAGUUGUGAAAGGUUGCGGCUCAACCGUAAAAUUGCAAUUGAUACUGGCAGUCUUGAGUACAGUUGAGGUAGGCGGAAUUCGUGGUGUAGCGGUGAAAUGCUUAGAUAUCACGAAGAACCCCGAUUGCGAAGGCAGCUUACUAAACUGUGACUGACAUUGAUGCUCGAAAGUGUGGGUAUCAAACAGGAUUAGAUACCCGAGUAGUC
Molecule: ribosomal RNA, 460 nt
Filed under: uncultured bacterium
Lineage: Bacteria
Description: partial 16S ribosomal RNA
Rfam family: Bacterial small subunit ribosomal RNA
Source: RNAcentral